Molecule: ribosomal RNA, 463 nt
Filed under: uncultured bacterium
Lineage: Bacteria
Description: bacterial SSU rRNA
Rfam family: Bacterial small subunit ribosomal RNA
Source: RNAcentral
CUACGGAAGGCAGCAGUGGGGAAUUUUGGACAAUGGGGGCAACCCUGAUCCAGCCAUGCCGCGUGAGUGAAGAAGGCCUUCGGGUUGUAAAGCUCUUUCGGCCGGGAAGAAAUCGCGCAGGCUAAUACCCUGUGUGGAUGACGGUACCGGAAUAAGAAGCACCGGCUAACUACGUGCCAGCAGCCGCGGUAAUACGUAGGGUGCGAGCGUUAAUCGGAAUUACUGGGCGUAAAGCGUGCGCAGGCGGUUUCGUAAGACAGAGGUGAAAUCCCCGGGCUCAACCUGGGAACUGCCUUUGUGACUGCGAGGCUAGAGUACGGCAGAGGGGGGUGGAAUUCCACGUGUAGCAGUGAAAUGCGUAGAGAUGUGGAGGAACACCGAUGGCGAAGGCAGCCCCCUGGGCCGAUACUGACGCUCAUGCACGAAAGCGUGGGUAGCAAACAGGAUUAGAUACCCCGGUAGG